AGAGUUUGAUCAUGGCUCAGAUUGAACGCUGGCGGUAUGCUUAACACAUGCAAGUCGAACGGCAGCACGAGAGAGCUUGCUCUCUUGGUGGCGAGUGGCGGACGGGUGAGUAACGCGUAGGAAUCUGCCUAGUAGUGGGGGACAACUCGGAGAAAUCCGAGCUAAUACCGCAUACGCCCUACGGGGGAAAGCAGGGGAUCUUCGGACCUUGCGCUAUUAGAUGAGCCUGCGUUGGAUUAGCUUGUUGGUGAGGUAAUGGCUCACCAAGGCGACGAUCCAUAGCUGGUCUGAGAGGACGAUCAGCCACACUGGGACUGAGACACGGCCCAGACUCCUACGGGAGGCAGCAGUGGGGAAUAUUGGACAAUGGGCGCAAGCCUGAUCCAGCAAUACCGCGUGUGUGAAGAAGGCCUGCGGGUUGUAAAGCACUUUCAAUUGUGAAGAAAAGCUUGAGGUCAAUACCCUCGAGUCUUGACGUUAACUUUAGAAGAAGCACCGGCUAACCCUGUGCCAGCAGCCGCGGUAAUACAGGGGGUGCAAGCGUUAAUCGGAAUUACUGGGCGUAAAGCGCGCGUAGGCGGAUUGUUAAGUCAGAUGUGAAAGCCCUGGGCUCAACCUGGGAACUGCAUUUGAAACUGGCAAACUAGAGUAUGGUAGAGGAAAGUGGAAUUUCGGGUGUAGCGGUGAAAUGCGUAGAUAUCCGAAGGAACAUCAGUGGCGAAGGCGACUUUCUGGACCAAUACUGACGCUGAGGUGCGAAAGCGUGGGUAGCAAACAGGAUUAGAUACCCUAGUAGUCC
RNAcentral lists this ribosomal RNA (799 nucleotides) under uncultured bacterium. Its description in RNAcentral is "bacterial SSU rRNA". It matches the Rfam family "Bacterial small subunit ribosomal RNA", at positions 8 to 796 of the family's 1533-position model. The record is from RNAcentral.